Molecule: long non-coding RNA, 457 nt
Organism: Osmerus eperlanus (European smelt)
Lineage: Eukaryota; Metazoa; Chordata; Actinopteri; Osmeriformes; Osmeridae
Exons: 3
Source: RefSeq, a predicted model, not a curated record
CCCCUCCCCUCCAGUCCACUCACCAACUGACAGCCUCCGACCGACAUCAAAGCUCCUCUCCUCCUAGCCGUCCGGCUUCCCUACUCCCCUUUCAUCUGCGCCGAGAGAGGGAUGUCUGUUUUCUAACUCCUCUCCCUCCACUGGUAUCCACUACAUUAUCUACUACAUUGCCCAAGACCAGUACCCCCCCCCAUCUCUGCCUCAACCUCCACCCCAGCCUCCACCCCAGCCUCGACCCCGACCUCAGCCAUGGAGGACUAUGACGUGCGCUCGGCCGCCAGCAUCAUGGCGUCCGUGAAGGAGCAGGAGGCUCGCUUUGAGCGCCUGACCCGCGCCCUGGAGGAGGAGCGACGCAACGUCUCGCUGCAGCUGGAGCGCGCCAACCUGCCCGCCGAUAGGCUGGCCGGCCCCCACGCCCCGCCCACCAGCCAACCGUUGGCUUGGCAGCAGGUGGUGA